Molecule: small RNA, 50 nt
Filed under: Arabidopsis thaliana (thale cress)
Lineage: Eukaryota; Viridiplantae; Streptophyta; Magnoliopsida; Brassicales; Brassicaceae
Description: ATSL217750
Source: RNAcentral
UAUAUCUGGUUAUGAAGAUGGUUCCCCGGUGAUAUGGAUCUCAACUGUGA